GCACCCGUAGCUCAGCUGGAUAGAGCGUUGCCCUCCGAAGGCAGAGGUCACAGGUUCGAAUCCUGUCGGGUGCACCA
Molecule: transfer RNA, 77 nt
Filed under: Sandaracinobacteroides saxicola
Lineage: Bacteria; Pseudomonadati; Pseudomonadota; Alphaproteobacteria; Sphingomonadales; Sphingosinicellaceae
Description: tRNA-Arg
Rfam family: tRNA
About the family: Transfer RNA (tRNA) molecules are approximately 80 nucleotides in length. Their secondary structure includes four short double-helical elements and three loops (D, anti-codon, and T loops).
Source: RNAcentral